Molecule: ribosomal RNA, 917 nt
Filed under: Staphylococcus haemolyticus
Lineage: Bacteria; Bacillati; Bacillota; Bacilli; Caryophanales; Staphylococcaceae
Description: bacterial SSU rRNA
Rfam family: Bacterial small subunit ribosomal RNA
Source: RNAcentral
GCUAAUACGGGAUAAUAUAUUGAACCGCAUGGGUCAAUAUGUGAAAGACGGUUUUGGUGUCACUUAUGUGUGGAUCCGCGCCGACCCGCUAGUUGGUAAGGUAACGGCUUACCAAGGCAACGAUGCGUAGCCAACCUGAGAGGGUGAUCGGCCACGAUGGAACUGACAGACGGUCCAGACUCCUACGGAAGGCUACAGUAGGGAAUCUUCCGCAAUGGGCGAAAGCCUGACAGAGCAACACCGCGUGACUGAUGAAGGUCUUCGAAUGUUAUCACUCUGUUAUUCUCGAAGAACAAAUGUGAACGUAGCUAUGCACGUCUUGACGGCCCCUGAUCGGAAAGCCACGGAUAACUACGUGCCACCACCCGCCGUAAUACGUAGGUGGCCAGCGUUGUCCGGAAUUAUUGGGAUUAAUGGGCGCGUAAGCGGUUUUUUGCGUCUGAUGUGAAAGCCCACGGCUCACCCCUGGACGGUCAUUGGGGACUGUUGAACUUGAGUGCACAUGAGGAAAGUGGAAUUCCGUGUGUUUCCGUGAAAUGCGCAGAGAUAUGGAGGAACAUGGAUGGCCACCGCGACUUUCUGGUCUGUAACUGACGCUGAUGUGCGAAAGCGUGGGGAUCAAACAGGAUUAGAUACGCUGGUAUUCCCCGCCGUAACCGAUGAGUGACGAGUGUUGGUGGGUGUCCGCCCCUUACCGCUGCUUCUAGCUCAUUAAGCACUCCUCCUGGGCGAGUACUAGCGCAGUGGUACAAACUCGUUGGAAUCUGACAGGGAAUUCGACAGAGGCCGCUGCGAAACAUGUGGUAUACAUUGUGGAUUUAACUUCGAAGAACCGUCACAAAAUCUUGACAUCCUCUGACCUCUCUAGAGCAUACUAGUUUAUCUCCUUCUGUCGCACUCAGUGACAGGUGGAGCAU